ACCCGCACAAGCGGUGGAUGAUGUGGUUUAAUUCGAUGCAACGCGAAAAACCUUACCCACCUUUGACAUGGCAGGAAUCCCGAAGAGAUUUGGGAGUGCUCGAAAGAGAACCUGCACACAGGUGCUGCAUGGCUGUCGUCAGCUCGUGUCGUGAGAUGUUGGGUUAAGUCCCGCAACGAGCGCAACCCUUGCCAUUAGUUGCUACGAAAGGGCACUCUAAUGGGACUGCCGGUGACAAACCGGAGGAAGGUGGGGAUGACGUCAAGUCCUCAUGGCCCUUAUAGGUGGGGCUACACACGUCAUACAAUGGCCGGUACAGAGGGUAGCCAACCCGCGAGGGGGAGCCAAUCCCACAAAGCCGGUCGUAGUCCGGAUCGCAGUCUGCAACUCGACUGCGUGAAGUCGGAAUCGCUAGUAAUCGCGGAUCAGCAUGUCGCGGUGAAUACGUUCCCGGGCCUU
This 459-nucleotide ribosomal RNA is filed under the name uncultured Allobrachymonas sp. Its description in RNAcentral is "bacterial SSU rRNA". It matches the Rfam family "Bacterial small subunit ribosomal RNA", at positions 919 to 1382 of the family's 1533-position model. Lineage: Bacteria; Pseudomonadati; Pseudomonadota; Betaproteobacteria; Burkholderiales; Comamonadaceae. The record is from RNAcentral.